This 497-nucleotide ribosomal RNA is filed under the name uncultured bacterium. RNAcentral describes it as "partial 16S ribosomal RNA". It matches the Rfam family "Bacterial small subunit ribosomal RNA", at positions 28 to 507 of the family's 1533-position model. The record is from RNAcentral.
GACGAACGCUGGCGGCGUGCCUAAUACAUGCAAGUUGAGCGCUGAAGGUUGGUACUUGUACCAACUGGAUGAGCAGCGAACGGGUGAGUAACGCGUGGGGAAUCUGCCUUUGAGCGGGGGACAACAUUGGGAAACGAAUGCUAAUACCGCAUAAAAACUUAAAACACAAGUUUAAAGUUUGAAAGAUGCAAUUGCAUAACCCAAAGAUGAUCCCGCGUUGUAUUAGCUAGUUGGUGAGGUAAAGGCUCACCAAGGCGAUGAUACAUAGCCGACCUGAGAGGGUGAUCGGCCACAUUGGGACUGAGACACGGCCCAAACUCCUACGGGAGGCAGCAGUAGGGAAUCUUCGGCAAUGGACGAAAGUCUGACCGAGCAACGCCGCGUGAGUGAAGAAGGUUUUCGGAUCGUAAAACUCUGUUGGUAGAGAAGAACGUUGGUGAGAGUGGAAAGCUCAUCAAGUGACGGUAACUACCCAGAAAGGGACGGCUAACUACGUG